AUUGAACGCUGGCGGCAUGCCUAACACAUGCAAGUCGAACGGCAGCACGGGAGCUUGCUCCUGGUGGCGAGUGGCGACGGGUGAGUAAUGCAUAGGAAUCUGCCCAGUAGCGGGGGACAACUUGGGGAAACUCAAGCUAAUACCGCAUACGCCCUACGGGGGAAAGCGGGGGGACCUUCGGGCCUCGCACUAUUGGAUGAGCCUAUGUCAGAUUAGCUUGUUGGUGGGGUAAAGGCCUACCAAGGCGACGAUCUGUAGCUGGUCUGAGAGGACGAUCAGCCACACUGGGACUGAGACACGGCCCAGACUCCUACGGGAGGCAGCAGUGGGGAAUAUUGCACAAUGGGCGAAAGCCUGAUGCAGCAAUGCCGCGUGUGUGAAGAAGGCCUGCGGGUUGUAAAGCACUUUCAGUAGGGAGGAAACAGUAGCCGGUUAAUAUCCGGUUGCCUUGACGUUACCUACAGAAGAAGCACCGGCUAACUCUGUG
Molecule: ribosomal RNA, 487 nt
Filed under: uncultured bacterium
Lineage: Bacteria
Description: bacterial SSU rRNA
Rfam family: Bacterial small subunit ribosomal RNA
Source: RNAcentral